This 708-nucleotide ribosomal RNA is filed under the name Escherichia coli. RNAcentral's name for it is "bacterial SSU rRNA". It matches the Rfam family "Bacterial small subunit ribosomal RNA", at positions 824 to 1532 of the family's 1533-position model. The record is from RNAcentral. Lineage: Bacteria; Pseudomonadati; Pseudomonadota; Gammaproteobacteria; Enterobacterales; Enterobacteriaceae.
UUGUGCCCUUGAGGCGUGGCUUCCGGAGCUAACGCGUUAAGUCGACCGCCUGGGGAGUACGGCCGCAAGGUUAAAACUCAAAUGAAUUGACGGGGGCCCGCACAAGCGGUGGAGCAUGUGGUUUAAUUCGAUGCAACGCGAAGAACCUUACCUGGUCUUGACAUCCACGGAAGUUUUCAGAGAUGAGAAUGUGCCUUCGGGAACCGUGAGACAGGUGCUGCAUGGCUGUCGUCAGCUCGUGUUGUGAAAUGUUGGGUUAAGUCCCGCAACGAGCGCAACCCUUAUCCUUUGUUGCCAGCGGUCCGGCCGGGAACUCAAAGGAGACUGCCAGUGAUAAACUGGAGGAAGGUGGGGAUGACGUCAAGUCAUCAUGGCCCUUACGACCAGGGCUACACACGUGCUACAAUGGCGCAUACAAAGAGAAGCGACCUCGCGAGAGCAAGCGGACCUCAUAAAGUGCGUCGUAGUCCGGAUUGGAGUCUGCAACUCGACUCCAUGAAGUCGGAAUCGCUAGUAAUCGUGGAUCAGAAUGCCACGGUGAAUACGUUCCCGGGCCUUGUACACACCGCCCGUCACACCAUGGGAGUGGGUUGCAAAAGAAGUAGGUAGCUUAACCUUCGGGAGGGCGCUUACCACUUUGUGAUUCAUGACUGGGGUGAAGUCGUAACAAGGUAACCGUAGGGGAACCUGCGGUUGGAUCACCUCCUU